This 621-nucleotide long non-coding RNA is filed under the name Selaginella moellendorffii. RNAcentral's name for it is "long non-coding RNA (SMOE_LNC002452)". Lineage: Eukaryota; Viridiplantae; Streptophyta; Lycopodiopsida; Selaginellales; Selaginellaceae. The record is from RNAcentral.
AAACACUUCAAUAUGAUCAGGUUGUGCACAAGACGAGAAUUGGAGAUGGCGAGGAUUUUUACGAGACGGAGCUGUUUGGAACUCGAUCGGAUCACGAAAAGAGCUUCUUUUUCGGCCUUGACGAUCAGCUCAACAAAGUGGACAACUUUUUUAGAUGCAAGGAAGACGAGUACGAUGCUCAAGCACGGCAACUUCACAUCCAAAUGGAAGAGCUCAUCGCUAUGCAAGGUUCGUUCUAGCAGCCUCUAAUUCUGUGGCACUUAACUUGGAAUCGUUUGAUCUCUGCCAUGUUGUAGAUGACGAAUCUCAGAGCUUGAAGGGGAGCCCCGCCAACAAAGGAAAGGUUCAGCGAGCAGCCAAGAUGCUCCAUUUGUCGAAUUUUAUCGUGGGCUUCGACUCCUAAGAAACUUCAGGUGAAUGACCUCUAUACGAUUGAUCCAUGUUCUCAAAGUGUUGAAAACUUACUUGGCAGCUCCUUGAACAUGAUGGCAUUCGUCAAGAUCCGCAAGAAAUAUGAAAAGGUACUUAUGGAAAAUGGAAAAUUAGUGCAGACUUCUAAAAAGGUUUUUUUGAAUUUUCAGGUGACUGGAGUCUGGCAGUUACCACUUUGCAACGUCGGAA